UUCAUAUUUUCGUCUACUCUUCUUUGUCUAUAAUUUUUUUUUUUUUUUAUUUGUAUAGCUUACAGCUUAUAAUAACAACAGAUAACUAAUACAGAAUAGGAGUCAGUAAAAGUUAAUAACAAGCUACCACAUAUUGGAACUAAUGCUGCUUAUUUCUAAAAAUAAUAAAUAACUAAUAUUUAAAAAUUAAAAAAAAAAGAAUUAAGGUUACAAUUUGUUGUAGUUUUUCGUACAAAUACGCAAUACAGGUAAUUUUUAUUGUACUUCAAAUACCAACAAGUAUAGACGAAAAACAAUUUUCGGGGUGGAAGUAAGUACAAGAGACAACCUUAUUGAUAAAGCAGUAAUAUCUUCCAGGGUGGGCGUAACCAGUUUUUUUUUAAAGUGGGACAAAACAUAGUGGUAGAAAAUAUAAAAUUCAUAUUUACUACAAAUUUUCAUUUAUUAUCACUAUUUAUACUACAGCUCUGGUGUAGUUGUGCGAAUAAGCGUCUAAAACACCAACGCUUUGCGGGUUCGAUAUUUGUAACUAUACAAAUAUUUUUCCUAUUUGGAUAUCUUGUGGGUCUCCCCACCAUGCUUCGGAGAGCACGUUUAGCCGACGGUACCGGUUGUUGUCAUAAAUACCUGAUAGCGAUCGUCACUCAUAGUAGGGAACAAUCCGCCAACUCACAGUGGAGCAGCGUGGUGGAUUAAGCUCAAAUUCUUCUCCUACAUAGAGAAAGAAGCCUGUGCCCAAUUAGGAUAUUACAGGCUAAAUGCGAGUACAGCUUACAAAGUACCGCCUUUGUACAUCUUUCUUUGUAUGUUUCUACUAUUGUUACGUUUCUUUAUGGUGUACAAUAAAGAGUAUUCAUUCAUUCAUUCAU
Molecule: unclassified non-coding RNA, 869 nt
Filed under: Melitaea cinxia (Glanville fritillary)
Lineage: Eukaryota; Metazoa; Arthropoda; Insecta; Lepidoptera; Nymphalidae
Description: misc RNA ENSMCXG00005005362.1
Source: RNAcentral